This 330-nucleotide RNase P RNA is filed under the name bovine gut metagenome. RNAcentral describes it as "Bacterial RNase P class A". It matches the Rfam family "Bacterial RNase P class A". From Rfam's summary of the family: Ribonuclease P (RNase P) is a ubiquitous endoribonuclease, found in archaea, bacteria and eukarya as well as chloroplasts and mitochondria. Its best characterised activity is the generation of mature 5'-ends of tRNAs by cleaving the 5'-leader elements of precursor-tRNAs. The record is from RNAcentral.
AGCAGGACGGGUGAUCGCGGCAGCAACAGCUGACGAGGAAAGUCCGGGCUUCAUAGGGCAGGAUGCCGGAUAACGUCCGGUGGAGGCGACUCCCAGACCAGUGCAACAGAAAUAUACCGCCCUUCGGGGUAAGGGUGAAAUGGCAGUGUAAGAGACUACCGCCUGUGUGGUAACAGACAGGGCACAUGUAAACUCCAUCUGAAGCAAGACCAAGCAGGAAGCAUUGACCUUGCCCGGCGAGCUUCCAGGUAGGUCGCUUGAGGCGGUCGGUAACGGCCGUCCUAGAUAGAUGAUCAUCCAAGACAUAACCCGGCUUACAGUUCUGCUUGU